RNAcentral lists this transfer RNA (87 nucleotides) under Flavobacteriaceae bacterium. Its description in RNAcentral is "tRNA-Ser". It matches the Rfam family "tRNA". Rfam says of the family: Transfer RNA (tRNA) molecules are approximately 80 nucleotides in length. Their secondary structure includes four short double-helical elements and three loops (D, anti-codon, and T loops). Further hydrogen bonds mediate the characteristic L-shaped molecular structure. tRNAs have two regions of fundamental functional importance: the anti-codon, which is responsible for specific mRNA codon recognition, and the 3' end, to which the tRNAs corresponding amino acid is attached (by aminoacyl-tRNA synthetases). tRNAs cope with the degeneracy of the genetic code in two manners: having more than one tRNA (with a specific anti-codon) for a particular amino acid; and 'wobble' base-pairing, i.e. permitting non-standard base-pairing at the 3rd anti-codon position. The record is from RNAcentral. Lineage: Bacteria; Pseudomonadati; Bacteroidota; Flavobacteriia; Flavobacteriales; Flavobacteriaceae.
GGAGAGGUGCCAGAGUGGUAAUGGAGCAGAUUGCUAAUCUGUCAUCACGUAAGUGAUGCCAGGGUUCGAAUCCCUGUCUCUCCGCAA